UACUAUAGCUUGACACUGAACAUUGAGCCUUGAUGUGUAGGAUAGGUGGGAGGCUUUGAAGUGUGGACGCCAGUCUGCAUGGAGCCGACCUUGAAAUACCACCCUUUAAUGUUUGAUGUUCUAACGUGGACCCGUAAUCCGGGUUGCGGACAGUGUCUGGUGGGUAGUUUGACUGGGGCGGUCUCCUCCUAAAGAGUAACGGAGGAGCACGAAGGUUGGCUAAUCCUGGUCGGACAUCAGGAGGUUAGUGCAAUGGCAUAAGCCAGCUUGACUGCGAGCGUGACGGCGCGAGCAGGUGCGAAAGCAGGUCAUAGUGAUCCGGUGGUUCUGAAUGGAAGGGCCAUCGCUCAACGGAUAAAAGGUACUCCGGGGAUAACAGGCUGAUACCGCCCAAGAGUUCAUAUCGACGGCGGUGUUUGGCACCUCGAUGUCGGCUCAUCACAUCCUGGGGCUGAAGUAGGUCCCAAGGGUAUGGCUGUUCGCCAUUUAAAGUGGUACGCGAGCUGGGUUUAGAACGUCGUGAGACAGUUCGGUCCCUAUCUGCCGUGGGCGCUGGAGAACUGAGGGGGGCUGCUCCUAGUACGAGAGGACCGGAGUGGACGCAUCACUGGUGUUCGGGUUGUCAUGCCAAUGGCACUGCCCGGUAGCUAAAUGCGGAAGAGAUAAGUGCUGAAAGCAUCUAAGCACGAAACUUGCCCCGAGAUGAGUUCUCCCUGACUCCUUGAGAGUCCUGAAGGAACGUUGAAGACGACGACGUUGAUAGGCCGGGUGUGUAAGCGCAGCGAUGCGUUGAGCUAACCGGUACUAAUGAACCGUGAGGCUUAACCUU
This 829-nucleotide ribosomal RNA is filed under the name Escherichia coli. RNAcentral describes it as "partial 23S ribosomal RNA". It matches the Rfam family "Bacterial large subunit ribosomal RNA", at positions 2102 to 2925 of the family's 2925-position model. Lineage: Bacteria; Pseudomonadati; Pseudomonadota; Gammaproteobacteria; Enterobacterales; Enterobacteriaceae. The record is from RNAcentral.